RNAcentral lists this ribosomal RNA (828 nucleotides) under Triticum aestivum (bread wheat). RNAcentral describes it as "partial small subunit ribosomal RNA". Lineage: Eukaryota; Viridiplantae; Streptophyta; Magnoliopsida; Poales; Poaceae. The record is from RNAcentral.
AUGAGGCCGGCGUGGGGCAACCCAAAAGGUUUGUUGUUCCACCCUUCCGGGGACAAUGUGUUUGUUGCUGAAUUUGGCACCCAGGCAGAUAGAGCUCGGGUGAUCGAGGGCCCGCCGUGGAUGGUGGGCAAACAUGCUGUUCUUCUCAAAGUGUUUGAUCAGAACACCCCACCCCUUCAGGUUCAGUUUGACAGCCUUGCCAUCUGGGCUCGGAUCAUGAAUUUGCCGCCAAGGUUGAUGAAAUCAAAGCUGGGAAUGGAGUUUGCCAAGACAAUUGGCCAUGUCUCCAAAGUGGAGGCUGAUUCUGAUGGCCGGUGCUGGGGAGGCUAUAUGAGGGUCAGAGUGGAGAUUGCGGUACAAGAACCGAUUGUUCGGUAUGUGACUGUGACCUCGGCAAGGCUCAAAUCCACAGAUACCUACUCGGUGAUGUACGAGCGUCUUCCUUUUUACUGCUUCUCAUGUGGGCGCCUGGGGCACUCUUCAAUCUUAUGUACAAGUCCUGGCAUCAGAGAUGACAAUGGGAGCUCCCUUAUGCUGCUAAGAAACUGUGUGUGGCCGAUGUCACCUCCAGGAAAUCGGGUGGAUCAUGAUCUAGUAGUUCAUCAACGUCAGCUGGGGGUGAUGGCAGGGCAGGUGGUGCAAGGUUGUCUUCAUCGAUCCGUGCCAAUCCUAAAGGCCAAGCUAACGUUGCAGAAGUGGAUGGUGAGGUUUCCUCCCCUCCUAAGCGAGGGUCCAGGGGCCGCGGCCGUGGUCCUUCCUCCCGUGGUCGCGGGAGGGGAAGAGGUUCUGUUGAUAAGGAGCUGUUUCCGGAAUCAAAUGAGAAAAUGA